This 530-nucleotide ribosomal RNA is filed under the name uncultured Bacillota bacterium. Its description in RNAcentral is "bacterial SSU rRNA". It matches the Rfam family "Bacterial small subunit ribosomal RNA", at positions 8 to 522 of the family's 1533-position model. The record is from RNAcentral. Lineage: Bacteria; Bacillati; Bacillota.
AGAGUUUGAUCAUGGCUCAGGACGAACGCUGGCGGCGUGCCUAAUACAUGCAAGUCGAGCGAAUCGAUGGGAGCUUGCUCCCAUUGAUUAGCGGCGGACGGGUGAGUAACACGUGGGUAACCUGCCUGUAAGACUGGGAUAACUUCGGGAAACCGGAGCUAAUACCGGAUAGUUUCUUUUCUCGCAUGAGAGAAGAUGGAAAGAUGGUUUCGGCUAUCACUUACAGAUGGACCCGCGGCGCAUUAGCUAGUUGGUGAGGUAAUGGCUCACCAAGGCAACGAUGCGUAGCCGACCUGAGAGGGUGAUCGGCCACACUGGGACUGAGACACGGCCCAGACUCCUACGGGAGGCAGCAGUAGGGAAUCUUCCGCAAUGGACGAAAGUCUGACGGAGCAACGCCGCGUGAACGAAGAAGGCCUUCGGGUCGUAGAGUUCUGUUGUUAGGGAAGAACAAGUACGAGAGUAACUGCUCGUACCUUGACGGUACCUAACCAGAAAGCACGGCUAACUACGUGCCAGCAGCCGCGGUA